RNAcentral lists this transfer RNA (73 nucleotides) under Gracilibacillus halotolerans. It matches the Rfam family "tRNA". From Rfam's summary of the family: Transfer RNA (tRNA) molecules are approximately 80 nucleotides in length. Lineage: Bacteria; Bacillati; Bacillota; Bacilli; Caryophanales; Bacillaceae. The record is from Rfam by way of RNAcentral. RNAcentral also lists the same sequence under 6 other names.
GCUUCCAUAGCUCAGCAGGUAGAGCACUUCCAUGGUAAGGAAGGGGUCGUCGGUUCAAAUCCGGCUGGAAGCU